Molecule: ribosomal RNA, 434 nt
Filed under: uncultured bacterium
Lineage: Bacteria
Description: partial 16S ribosomal RNA
Rfam family: Bacterial small subunit ribosomal RNA
Source: RNAcentral
AGCGAACGCUGGCGGCAGGCCUAACACAUGCAAGUCGAACGAACCUUUCGGGGUUAGUGGCGGACGGGUGAGUAACACGUGGGAACGUGCCUUUAGGUUCGGAAUAACUCAGGGAAACUUGUGCUAAUACCGAAUGUGCCCUUCGGGGGAAAGAGUUGUCGCCUUUAGAGGGGCCGGCGUCUGAUUAGCUAGUUGGUUGAGGUAAUGGCUCACCAAGGCGACAAUCAGUAGCUGGUCUGAGAGGAUGAUCAGCCACAUUGGGACUGAGACACAGCCCAAACUCCUACGGGAGGCAGCAGUGGGGAAUCUUGCGCAAUGGGCGAAAGCCUGACGCAGCCAUGCCGCGUGAAUGAUGAAGGUCUUAGGAUUGUAAAAUUCUUUCACCGGGGACGAUAAUGACGGUACCCGGAGAAGAAGCCCCGGCUAACUUCGUG